AGCGAACGCUGGCGGUAGGCCUAACACAUGCAAGUCGAACGGCAGCACAGUAAGAGCUUGCUCUUACGGGUGGCGAGUGGCGGACGGGUGAGUAAUACAUCGGAAUCUACUUUUUCGUGGGGGAUAACGUCGGGAAACUCACGCUAAUACCGCAUACGACCUACGGUUGAAAGCCGGGGAUUUUCGGACCUUGCGCGAGUGAAUGAGCCGCUGUCGGAUUAGCUAGUUGGCGGGGUAAAGGCCCACCAAGGCGGCGAUCCGUAGCUGGUCUGAGAGGAUGAUCAGCCACAUGGGAAGGGAGACACGGUCAAGACUCCUACGGGAAGCAGCAGUGGGGAAUAGUGGACGAUGGGGGAGAGCCUGAUCCAGCCAGACCGAGUGGGUGAAGAAGGACUUCGGGUUGGAAAGCCAUGUUGUUGGGAAAGAAAAGCAGCAGGUUAAUACCACGCUGUACUGACGGUACCCAAAGAAUAAGCACCGGCUAACUUCGUG
RNAcentral lists this ribosomal RNA (492 nucleotides) under uncultured bacterium. RNAcentral's name for it is "partial 16S ribosomal RNA". It matches the Rfam family "Bacterial small subunit ribosomal RNA", at positions 29 to 507 of the family's 1533-position model. The record is from RNAcentral.